CUCCAUAGCAGCAGCAUUACACAGAAGUAGAGUCACAAGAAGCUGAUGUUGCUUCUGAACAACAGGAAGUAUUGUAGCUGAAAAAGAUGGAAAAGCAGAAAAGUUGAUAUAUUGGUAAAGAUUCAUCCUAAUAAUUUUCAGCAUUUACAAUUAGCCCAUGAACCAUACAUCCACCCAUUUCAGAUAUACAUUGUCCUAAGAAAAUGCUUCCUGAGCCGAGGGUCUAAUGAAAACAGGCUCUAUAUCCUCACAAAUUAGGGGCAAGGUCUGCACACACACUAUGCUCUCAUAUACCAUGGGUGGGACAAGACUGGGUAUGUUGUUGUUGUAGUAGUAUUGUCCUAAAAAAAAUGACCAAUUCUCUUUUACCCUCCAAUGAGCAAAUGACAUAGAUUAAUACAAAAUGAAAUGAAUGAAAAAGAAGAUACCAGCUUGUUUUUUCUCAGAGGGGGUGCCACUUCGUUGAAGGAUCUCAAGAUCGACGAGACCCAAAGACAUGAGGCCCAAUGUCAAACCGGACAUAAUGCCGGCGAAGAGUACUAAGAAACAAGAGAUACCAGCGUAGAGGAACCAUGACACCGUCCCAAAUGCUAUUUCUGCCCCCAGGCCAGGGACGGGGCCGUUCGAAUGACACCUCGUUGCCAUUCGAACAACUGCCGCCGCAUUAAACAGGUGCAUUUUUUAUUUCUCUUUUUCCUCCGCCAACGUCCUAACUGUGUCGCUCUGUCUCCUCCUUGUACAAUUUGUACUACUUUUUUGGAUCACGGUAACCUCGUGAAUAGUCGGAGGAGAAGGUCAAAUC
This 802-nucleotide long non-coding RNA is filed under the name Nicotiana tabacum (common tobacco). RNAcentral's name for it is "long non-coding RNA (NTAB_LNC007369)". The record is from RNAcentral. Lineage: Eukaryota; Viridiplantae; Streptophyta; Magnoliopsida; Solanales; Solanaceae.